RNAcentral lists this ribosomal RNA (480 nucleotides) under uncultured bacterium. RNAcentral describes it as "bacterial SSU rRNA". It matches the Rfam family "Bacterial small subunit ribosomal RNA", at positions 28 to 526 of the family's 1533-position model. The record is from RNAcentral.
GACGAACGCUGGCGGCGUGCUUAACACAUGCAAGUCGAGCGGUAAGGCCCUUUCGGGGGUACACGAGCGGCGAACGGGUGAGUAACACGUGGGUGACCUGCCCUCAGCUCUGGGAUAAGCCUGGGAAACCGGGUCUAAUACCGGAUAUGACUCCAUGACGCAUGUUGUGGGGUGGAAAGCCUUGUGCGGCUGAGGAUGGGCCCGCGGCCUAUCAGCUUGUUGGUGGGGUGAUGGCCUACCAAGGCGACGACGGGUAGCCGGCCUGAGAGGGCGACCGGCCACACUGGGACUGAGACACGGCCCAGACUCCUACGGGAGGCAGCAGUGGGGAAUAUUGGACAAUGGGCGAAAGCCUGAUCCAGCCAUGCCGCGUGAGUGAUGAAGGCCUUAGGGUUGUAAAGCUCUUUUACCCGGGAAGAUAAUGACGGUACCGGGAGAAUAAGCCCCGGCUAACUUCGUGCCAGCAGCCGCCGCAGUAAC